GAUGAACGCUGGCGGCGUGCCUAAUACAUGCAAGUCGAGCGAACAGAUGAGGAGCUUUCUCCUCUGACGUUAGCGGCGGACGGGUGAGUAACACGUGGAUAACCUACCUAUAAGACUGGGAUAACUUCGGGAAACCGGAUACAAUACCGGAUCAUAUAUUGAACGGCAUGGUUCAUUAGUGCUCGACGGUUUUGCUGUCACUUUUAGAUGGAUCCGCGUCGCAUUAGCUAGUUGGUAAGGUAACGGCUUACCAAGGCAACGAUGCGUAGCCGACCGGAGAGAGGGAUCGGCCAAACUGGAACUGAGACACGGUCCAAACUCCUACGGGAGGAAGCGGGAGGGAAUCUUGCGCAAGGGGCGAAAGCCGGACGGAGCAACGCCGCGGGAGUGAUGAAGGUCUUCGGAUCGUAAAACUCUGUUAUUAGGGAAGAACAAAUGUGGAAGUAACUAUGCACGUCUUGACGGUACCUAAUCAGAAAGCCACGGCUACCUACGG
This 496-nucleotide ribosomal RNA is filed under the name uncultured bacterium. RNAcentral describes it as "partial 16S ribosomal RNA". It matches the Rfam family "Bacterial small subunit ribosomal RNA", at positions 28 to 506 of the family's 1533-position model. The record is from RNAcentral.